UGGUUUUUAAUUGAUGCUAAAAGAAUGGAAUUACAGGGAAAAGUUUUUUUAAAUUUAAUAAUUGAAGUUAUUUUAAUUUGUGAAGAAACAAUUAUAUAAAUUAAAGACAAGAAGACCCUAAGAAUUUAAGAAUUUUUAUUAAUAUAUUAUAUGUAUAUAUAUAUAUAAAUAAAAUUCUUAGUUGGGGCAACUAAAAAAUAUAUUAAACUUUUUUUUUAAAAAAAUGACCCAUUAUUAAUGAUAAUAUGAAAAAAAUACUCUAGGGAUAACAGCGUAAUAAUUUUUGAUAGAUCUUAUAGACAAAAUAGUUUGCGACCUCGAUGUUGGAUUAGGAUACUUUUUUAAUGAAGAUGUUAAAAAAAGAAGUUUGCUCAACUUUUAAAUUCCUACA
RNAcentral lists this ribosomal RNA (391 nucleotides) under Dermacentor nuttalli. RNAcentral's name for it is "partial large subunit ribosomal RNA". Lineage: Eukaryota; Metazoa; Arthropoda; Arachnida; Ixodida; Ixodidae. The record is from RNAcentral.